RNAcentral lists this transfer RNA (93 nucleotides) under Bacillota bacterium. RNAcentral describes it as "tRNA-Ser". It matches the Rfam family "tRNA". Rfam says of the family: Transfer RNA (tRNA) molecules are approximately 80 nucleotides in length. The record is from RNAcentral. Lineage: Bacteria; Bacillati; Bacillota.
GGAGAGGUGUCCGAGUCUGGCUUAAGGGGCUCGCCUGGAAAGCGAGUGUAGGUUAACCGCCUACCGAGGGUUCGAAUCCCUCCCUCUCCGCCA